AUUAGUGGCGAACGGGUGAGUAACACGUGAGUAACCUGCCCUUAACUCUGGGAUAAGCCUGGGAAACUGGGUCUAAUACCGGAUAUGACUCCUCAUCGCAUGGUGGGGGGUGGAAAGCUUUUGUGGUUUUGGAUGGACUCGCGGCCUAUCAGCUUGUUGGUGAGGUAAUGGCUCACCAAGGCGACGACGGGUAGCCGGCCUGAGAGGGUGACCGGCCACACUGGGACUGAGACACGGCCCAGACUCCUACGGGAGGCAGCAGUGGGGAAUAUUGCACAAUGGGCGGAAGCCUGAUGCAGCGACGCCGCGUGAGGGAUGACGGCCUUCGGGUUGUAAACCUCUUUCAGUAGGGAAGAAGCGAGAGUGACGGUACCUGCAGAAGAAGCGCCGGCUAACUACGUGCCAGCAGCCGCGGUAAUACGUAGGGCGCAAGCGUUAUCCGGAAUUAUUGGGCGUAAAGAGCUCGUAGGCGGUUUGUCGCGUCUGCCGUGAAAGUCCGGGGCUCAACUCCGGAUCUGCGGUGGGUACGGGCAGACUAGAGUGAUGUAGGGGAGACUGGAAUUCCUGGUGUAGCGGUGAAAUGCGCAGAUAUCAAGAGGAACACCGAUGGCGAAGGCAGGUCUCUGGGCAUUAACUGACGCUGAGGAGCGAAAGCAUGGGGAGCGAACAGGAUUAGAUACCCUGGUAGUCCAUGCCGUAAACGUUGGGCACUAGGUGUGGGGGACAUUCCACGUUUUCCGCGCCGUAGCUAACGCAUUAAGUGCCCCGCCUGGGGAGUACGGCCGCAAGGCUAAAACUCAAAGGAAUUGACGGGGGCCCGCACAAGCGGCGGAGCAUGCGGAUUAAUUCGAUGCAACGCGAAGAACCUUACCAAGGCUUGACAUGAACCGGUAAGACCUGGAAACAGGUCCCCCACUUGUGGUCGGUUUACAGGUGGUGCAUGGUUGUCGUCAGCUCGUGUCGUGAGAUGUUGGGUUAAGUCCCGCAACGAGCGCAACCCUCGUUCCAUGUUGCCAGCGCGUUAUGGCGGGGACUCAUGGGAGACUGCCGGGGUCAACUCGGAGGAAGGUGGGGACGACGUCAAAUCAUCAUGCCCCUUAUGUCUUGGGCUUCACGCAUGCUACAAUGGCCGGUACAAAGGGUUGCGAUACUGUGAGGUGGAGCUAAUCCCAAAAAGCCGGUCUCAGUUCGGAUUGGGGUCUGCAACUCGACCCCAUGAAGUCGGAGUCGCUAGUAAUCGCAGAUCAGCAACGCUGCGGUGAAUACGUUCCCGGGCCUUGUACACACCGCCCGUCAAGUCACGAAAGUUGGUAACACCCGAAGCCGGUGGCC
Molecule: ribosomal RNA, 1332 nt
Filed under: Arthrobacter sp.
Lineage: Bacteria; Bacillati; Actinomycetota; Actinomycetes; Micrococcales; Micrococcaceae
Description: bacterial SSU rRNA
Rfam family: Bacterial small subunit ribosomal RNA
Source: RNAcentral